AUGGAGGGACUACUUCACUAGGAUUUCUCGAUCGGCCUUGCGGUCGCGGCUCAGGUGAGUCGUCUUUUUGGUUCCACGGUCCAUUUCUUGCCUUCUGGUCCGACCAAAGAAUAAUUCUUGGUUGUGAGUUUCUCGUCAGCGGUGUUUCCUCUCAAUGAAGAAUAUGUGGCUAUUGCACUCCAAUGUUGCAUUGGAGGACUACCUUUGGGUCUUAGAGUGAUUCAUCUUGAUGGGAGGAGAUUUAGGUUUUCGGUUGCUUCCAACAAAGUGGGACAUUUUAUCUAUGGUCUUAAGGACAGGGUUUGGCUGGACUUUGUGUGCCAUUUGAUCCUUUUCCGGCCAGGUGUUCAUUCUUCGCCAGUAACCACUAGUUGGCAUUGGGAUCAACAAAGCCCUGAGGUAACAACUCGUUCUCUGGUGGCCAUCAGGACAAAACUUACUUUUUUGCACAAGAAUGUGCAGCUGGAUAAUACUUUUUGGACACGCUCACAAAAAUUGGGUUUUUUUCCUCCACCGGGUCACUCUGACAAGCCGGAGACCUCGUCGUGCGGCAGCACUCCGGUCAUCGCCGGCUACCCGACAUGUUUCUUUGGAAAGAAAGACAAUUUUGAAUCCACCCACUAA
Molecule: ribosomal RNA, 624 nt
Filed under: Triticum aestivum (bread wheat)
Lineage: Eukaryota; Viridiplantae; Streptophyta; Magnoliopsida; Poales; Poaceae
Description: partial small subunit ribosomal RNA
Source: RNAcentral